RNAcentral lists this ribosomal RNA (324 nucleotides) under Triticum aestivum (bread wheat). RNAcentral's name for it is "partial small subunit ribosomal RNA". The record is from RNAcentral. Lineage: Eukaryota; Viridiplantae; Streptophyta; Magnoliopsida; Poales; Poaceae.
AUGGCGGCAAAGAAACAACUCUUUCGCUUUGGGUCUUUCGCGAUAAAGGACGGGUCGGAGAUUCGUUUCUGGGAAGACAUCUGGCUAGGCAAUGCCAGUCUCCGAGAACAAUAUCCAGCCUUGUACAACAUUGCUCGCGAUAAGAACAAUACUAUUGCGCAGGUGCUCAGCUCAUCCCCGCCGAAUAUUUCGUUCAGGCGGGAUUUGGUUGGCGCCCGACUUAUGUCAUGGCAUAAUCUCUUAUCCCGUCUGGAUCUGAUUAACCUGACGCAAGGCCGUGAUGUGUUUCGCUGGAACCUUACUACAUCGGGGUCUUUCACGGUA